Non-coding RNA from Paramuricea clavata, 355 nucleotides. The record is from the annotation of a GenBank genome assembly. NCBI's taxonomy places the organism in Eukaryota, Metazoa, Cnidaria, Anthozoa, Malacalcyonacea, Plexauridae.
UGUUGACCCCAUAGAUAUCUUAUAUACACUAGAUAGCGCAUCUCUUUUAGUAAAAUUGAAGCCAAGAAUAUUCCAGCGGUUACCCCCAUUUGAAAAGAUGGCGGCCAUGUUGGUCGUUCCCACUUGCUAACAAACGCUUAAAAACAACAAUAACUUUCAUCAUUUGAAUACUUUAAAAACGUAUUUGGCAUAGGGUUAACUUCAUGUUUAAGUUCCGUGUUUAAGAAAUAGAAAAUAUACGAAUCUUCUCAUUUCAUGGGAACGACCUGAGACUGCAAUCACGGCUUCAAUUUUUGAAUUGCAGAAUAAUUAGAUGCACUAUCUAGUGUAUAUAAGAUAUCUAUGGUUGACCCGA